This 3855-nucleotide long non-coding RNA is filed under the name Macaca fascicularis (crab-eating macaque). Its description in RNAcentral is "lncRNA (ENSMFAG00000061846.1)". The record is from RNAcentral. Lineage: Eukaryota; Metazoa; Chordata; Mammalia; Primates; Cercopithecidae.
AAAUUGAUGUCAGGGACCCAUGACUAAGAGAUAAUACUCAGAAAAUGAGCAAAAAUGUUAUAAGUAUCCAAAAAGAUGAGAUAAGUACAUGUUAAUACAUGAAUACUGGUGUGAAUAUUGCAUUCAGUAUUAAAUAUAGUUCUAUAUCUAGUAAAAUAAUAUGGUUAUGAGCCUUUUUCUAGUUUUCAGCAAAGUAAAUAAGAAUUAUAAGUUUACAUUCUGUCAUUCCCUACAUAAAUGGAUAAUGAUAAUAAAUAUUUUCAAUUAAAAGAGAAAAAAACACAACUAGGCUUCAAAUUAAGGUAAAUACACCUGAGAUCCCAAAAUGGACUAGAGGAGUGAGCAGAGCUGAAGCUGCAAACCAGAUGAGCUUCUGAUUCAGAAAUAGACUUGGGGCUGGAAGAGUCUGAGGAACAACAAAUAGCAAAGUGUCUUAUGUUACCAGGGAGACCAGGCUAACUGAUUGAAACCAGUGGCUGGUAUGAUGAAGCUCCCUAUUUUAAAAGAAAUCUGAAAAAAUGUCUGCUUCCUGGGUUAGUUAUUCUAUGAAUGUUACCUAAGGAGGUGGGAGGACAAGACAGAAAUAUCUCCAUGACAGGACCUAAAGAAAUAUACCAGCUGGCUUCAGGACUAAUCACCAUGGUGCAGCUGAUACAAAGUCUCUUUCUGAAACAGCAGUCCUCUGGGAGGCAGUUCAAAGCAACAGAAACCAACAACUGAAAAGAAUAUCCAAAAGAAGAAGAAAUAAAGGAGGCAUUAGUGUCUACAGUUUCCUGUGUUUUUAAACUUUAAUGAAUGUACGCCCUGUUGUUGUAAUGUUUUCUAUCAUUUAAAAGAAAAAUAAAAUAAAAAGCACUUUUUUGUGACAACGGUUACAAUGCAAGCAGUGUAAAACUUACAGAAGUUCUCAUAGUAUUUCUGAUCACUCAAAGGUGAUAAAAAAGAUUUUUUAAAAUUAAGUGUUAGUGGCCGGGCGCGGUGGCUCAAGCCUGUAAUCCCAGCACUUUGGGAGGCCGAGACGGGCGGAUCACGAGGUCAGGAGAUCGAGACCAUCCUUGCUAACACCGUGAAACUCCGUCUCUACUAAAAAUACAAAAAACUAGCCCCGGGCGAGGUGGCGGGCGCCUGUAGUCCCAGCUACUCAGGAGGCUGAGGCAGGAGAAUGGCGUGAACGCGGGAGGCGGAGCUUGCAGUGAGCUGAGAUCCGGCCACUGCACUCCAGCCCGGGCUACAGAGCAAGACUCCGUCUCAAAAAAAAAAAAAAAUUAAGUGUUAGUAUAUUCUAGUUUUCAAUUAACUUUUCACUGAGGUACUAGGGAGACAGCUAAUCAGAAGCUGAGUUGGGUAAUUUGACAGAAAACUAUGCACAAAGAUUAUUCACCUUCUAAUAUCACUAAUAUUUUUUCUUAUAUUUCCUUGGGUUUCUGUUUUCUGUUUCCAGUCUAACAUUCUUUUUACAAAAAAUCUGUAUUAAGUUAUUUUCUCGUUGUUAUAGUACCUGCAUUACAUUUCCUCUAUCUGUGACUUAUGAUGCUAUGACAACACUAAGAGAGCGAAAGUAGUUUAUCAAACCUAAAAGUUAGCCUGUUUCACAAUGGUGAGACCAUUAUAUAUUUUAUUGGAGGUCUGCAUUUUAUUAGCCUUUAGCCAUUAAAGUAUACACAUUUAAAAUGCACUUUUGAUAUUUUCCCACCCAUGUGAGUGGUCAGGCUUUCCACCUGAGAUCACUUUUCAAACCACACAGGUGGAACCCCUGUGUAGAAAAUGGGCUUGCUGAGAUGAACAGGCAGAAUAUACUACAGAACUACUGAAGUGACUGGAAUUUUCAGGAUGGGGGCUAUUAGAGAGGCAAGAAGCUGUGUAAAAGGAGAGGUUGACAAGUCUCACUGAAGGUUUUCCAUGAGACACUAAUUUAGGACUGAGUGGGUCCUUUACCUGAGAACUAAGACAAGAAAAUAUAAGAACUUCCAGGGUUUCUAUCACUUUGGGUUUUACAUUAAAGUCUUUAAUCCAUCCUGAAUUAAUUUUUGUAUAUGGUGUAAGGAAGAGGGUCUAGUUUCAAUCGUCUGUAUAAGGUUAGCAAGUUAUCCCAGCACCAUUUAUUGAAUAGGGAGUCCUUUCCUUAUUGCUUGUUUUUGUCAGCUUUGUCAAAGUUCAGAGAGUUGUAGGUGGCAGCCUCAUUUCUAGCUUCUCUAUUCUGUUCCAUCAGUCUAUGUGUCUGUUUCUGUACCAGUGUCAUGCUGUUUUGGUUACUGUAGCCCUGUAGUAUAGUUCAAAGUUGGGUAAUGCCUAUAGCUUUGUUCUUUUUGCUUAGGAUUGCCUUGCCAUUCAGGCUCUUUCUUGCUUCCAUAAGAAUUUUAAAAUAGUUUUUUUUCUAGUUUUAUGAAAAAUGUCAUUGUCAUUGGUAAUUUCAUAGUAAUAGCUUUGAAUCUAUAAAUUGCUUUAGGCACUAUGGCCAUAUUAAUUCAUUCUUUCUAUCCAGGACCAUGGAAUGUUUUUCCAUUUGUGUCAUCUCUGAUUUCUUUGAGCAGUGUUUUGUAGUUUUCCUUGUAGAGACCUUUUACCUCCCUGGUUAGCUGUAUUCCUAUGUUUGUGUGUGUGUGUGUGUGUGUGUGCGCGCGCACGUGUGUGUGCAUUGUGAAUAGGACUGCAUUCCUUAUUUGGCUCUAGGCUUGACUGUUGUUGGUGUAUAGGAAUGCUAGCGAUUUUUGCAAAUUGAUUUUGUAUUCUAAGACUUUGCUAAAGUUGUUUGUCAGCCUAAGGAGCUUCUGGGACAAAACUAUGGGGUUUUCUAGACAUAGGAUCAUGUCACCUACUAACGGGUAUAAUUUGACUUCCUUGCUUCAUAUUUGGAUGCCAUUUAUUUCUUUCUCUUGACUGAUUGCUCUGGCCAGAACUUCCAAUGCUAUGUUGAAUGCGAAUGGUGAGAAAGGGUAUCUUCGUCUUGUGCCGGUUUUCAAAGGGAAUGCUUCCAGCUUUUGCCCAUUCAGUAUGAUGUUGGCUGUGGGUUUGUUAUAGAUGACUCUUAUUAUUUCGAGGUAUGUUCCUUCAUUACCUAGUUUAUUGACAGUUCUUAAAAUGAAGUGAUGUUGAAUUUUAUAGAAAGUAUUUUCUGCAUCUAUUGAGAUAAUCAUGUGGUUUUUGUCUUUAGUUCUAUUUAUGUGAUAAAUCACAUCUAUUGAUUUCUGUAUGUUGAAGCAACCUUGCAUCCCAGGGAUAAAGCCUACUUGAUCAUGAUGGAUAAGCUUUCUAAUGUGCUUCUGGGUUUGGUUUGCUAGUAUUUUGUUGAAGAUUUCUGCAUUGAUGUUCAUCAAGGAUACUGGCCUGAAGUUUUCUUUUUUUGUUGUGUCUCUGUCAGGUUUUGGUAUCAGGAGGAUGCUGGCCUCAUAGAAUGAGUCAGAGAGGAGUCCCUCCUCCUCAAUUUUUUGAAAUAGUUUCAGCAGGAAUGGUACCAGUUCUUCUUUGUACAUCUAGUGGAAUUCAGCUGUGAAUCCGUCUGGUCCUGGGAUUUUUUUUUUUUUUUUUUUUUUUUUUUUUGGUUGGUAGGCUAUUUAUUACUCACUCAAUUUCAGAGCUCAUUAUUGGUCUGCUAAGGGAUUCAGUUUCUUCCUUCAGUCUUGGGAGGGUGUAUGUAUGCAAGAAUUUAUCCAUUUCUUCUAAAUUUUCUAGUUUAUGUGCAUACAGGUGUUCAUAACAUUCUCUGAUGGUUAUUUGCAUUUCUGUGGUGUUAGUGGUAAUAUCCCCCUUGUCAUUUCUAAUUGCAUUUAUUUGGAUUAUCUCUCUUUUAUUUUUUAUUCGUAAAAUCCAAAACUAUAAAAACCCUGGAAGACAACUUAGGCAAUACCAUUCUGGACA